CAACUCAUUAUUCCUACACCCUAAUAACCUAAAACCCUAACAAUCAAACCAUUUUACCACCCAAGUAUGGGCGACAGAAAAGGACUAUUCGAAGCAAUAGCAACAGUACCGCAAGGGAACGCUGAAAGAGAAAUGAAACAAAUCAGUAAAGCAUAAAAAAGCAGAGUUUAACCCUCGUACCUUUUGCAUCAUGAUUUAGCAAGAAAACAUCAAGCAAAGAGAACUUUAGUUUGAUACCCCGAAACCAAGUGAGCUACUCCAAGACAGCCUUUUAGGGCGAACCCGUCUCUGUGGCAAAAGAGUGGGAGGAGCUUUGAGUAGAGGUGACAGACCUACCGAACUUGGUUAUAGCUGGUUGUCCAGGAAUUGAACAGGAGUUCAGCCUUUUGCCCUCUUUCCCCACUUCUGGCUACACCCAAAGCCCACAAGAGGACAAAGGAGUUAAUCAAAGGGGGUACAGCCCCUUUGAAAAAGACACAACUUUCCCAGAAGGGUUAAGAUCAUAACAUAAAUUAAGGAACAGUGUUAUAGUUGGCCUAAAAGCAGCCACCCACACAGAAAGCGUUAAAGCUCAUACACCUCCCUUCCCCUAUUAUCCGGACCACAACAUCUUACCCCCCUACACAUACUGGACCUGCCCCAUACACAUAUGGGAGUGAUUAUGCUAAUAUGAGUAAUAAGAGACCCAGACUCUCUCCCCGCACAAGUGUACAUCGGAACGAACCCCCACCGAAAAUUAACGGCCCCAAAGAAGAGGGAACUGAAAUAUAAUGGCCAAGCCACUAGAAAAAUAUCCACAAGCCCAAACCGUUAAACUCACACUAGAGUGCACACAAGGAAAGACUAAAAGAAAAAGAAGGAACUCGGCAAACACCUCUAGCCUCGCCUGUUUACCAAAAACAUCGCCUCUUGCAAUCUAAGAAUAAGAGGUCCCGCCUGCCCUGUGACUAUUGUUUAACGGCCGCGGUACUCUGACCGUGCGAAGGUAGCGCAAUCACUUGUCUUUUAAAUGGAGACCUGUAUGAAUGGCAUAACGAGGGCUAAACUGUCUCCUUUUUUAAGUCAAUGAAAUUGAUCUCCCCGUGCAGAAGCGGGGAUAAACACAUAAGACGAGAAGACCCUAUGGAGCUUUAGACAAAAAGCAGACCAUGUUAAACAAACCCGGACAAGGGCUUAAACUUAGUGGGAACUGCCCGACUGUCUUUGGUUGGGGCGACCACGGAGUAAAACAAAACCCCCGUGUGGAACAAGGGCAUCCCCCUUUAAAACCAGAGUGACAACUCUAAUAAGCAGAAAUUCUGACCAAACAUGAUCCGGCAAAGCCGAUCAACGGACCGAGUUACCCUAGGGAUAACAGCGCAAUCCCCUUCUAGAGCCCAUAUCGACAAGGGGGUUUACGACCUCGAUGUUGGAUCAGGACAUCCUAAUGGCGCAGCCGCUAUUAAGGGUUCGUUUGUUCAACGAUUAAAGUCCUACGUGAUCUGAGUUCAGACCGGAGUAAUCCAGGUCAGUUUCUAUCUAUGAAAUGAUUUUUUCUAGUACGAAAGGACCGAAAAAAAGAGGCCCCUGCUACAAGCACACCUCCCUUUCACCUAAUGAAGACAACUAAAAUAGGUAAGAAAGCAUAUCCCCUUUGUCUAAGAGAAAGACUG
RNAcentral lists this ribosomal RNA (1652 nucleotides) under Jaydia carinatus (ocellate cardinalfish). RNAcentral describes it as "16S ribosomal RNA". It matches the Rfam family "Bacterial large subunit ribosomal RNA". The record is from RNAcentral. Lineage: Eukaryota; Metazoa; Chordata; Actinopteri; Kurtiformes; Apogonidae.